UAGGGAAUAUUGGACAAUGGGCGGAAGCCUGAUCCAGCCAUCCCGCGUGCAGGAAUAAGGCCCUAUGGGUUGUAAACUGCUUUUAUUAGGGGAGAAAAACUUUGAUUUAUCAGAGCUUGACGGUACCUAAUGAAUAAGCACCGGCUAACUCCGUGCCAGCAGCCGCGGUAAUACGGAGGGUGCAAGCGUUAUCCGGAUUUACUGGGUUUAAAGGGUGCGCAGGCGGUAGAGUAAGUCAGUGGUGAAAGCUUCCAGCUCAACUGGGAAAUUGCCAUUGAUACUGCUUUACUUGAAUUUGGGAGAGGUAGGCGGAAUACAUCAUGUAGCGGUGAAAUGCUUAGAUAUGAUGUAGAACACCGAUUGCGAAGGCAGCUUACUAGACCAACAUUGACGCUCAUGCACGAAAGCGUGGGGAGCAAACAGG
This 424-nucleotide ribosomal RNA is filed under the name uncultured bacterium. RNAcentral's name for it is "bacterial SSU rRNA". It matches the Rfam family "Bacterial small subunit ribosomal RNA", at positions 355 to 776 of the family's 1533-position model. The record is from RNAcentral.